Molecule: long non-coding RNA, 4290 nt
Organism: Cyprinus carpio (common carp)
Lineage: Eukaryota; Metazoa; Chordata; Actinopteri; Cypriniformes; Cyprinidae
Source: RefSeq, a predicted model, not a curated record
ACACACAGCAUGAUUGCUGAAAAAAUUAUUAAUACGUCGGUAUGUGUAAAUCUACAGACAAGGUUUUCUCAGUAAUAUUUUUACUGGGGAACAGCAGCAUUUCACAGGGAAAAACAGCCUAGUGAUGCCCCUGAUUUUUACCAAAAACAAAGCCUUUUAAUGCAUAACCUUGAGUGGCAUAUUGCCUUUAUAAAAUGAUGGCAAUAAUAGUAUGCAACACUGCUCAUCCACUUUUUUGCAGCAACCUUGUUUCCAGAAGUAGUUUCCGUCAUUAAGUUUUCUCAUCAAAAAGUCUUCCUUUAAGCAUGAUAAGUCAUGAACCAGACCAAGCAGUUACAAAGUGAAUCACAACAUUACAAACUUUAAUUUAAAGUGAAAAAUGUAUAAGGUGUAAGUGAACUAGUGGUUUUCUCAGAUCCUAAAAUCUGUACCUGACCUGAUUCCCUUUUACUCAAAUCUGAUGUACAUAAAUUAAUUUUUAAAAAGAAAUACUUGACUUGAGACAGACAUGACAAAAUUAGACUCAAGUCUGAUCUGACAUGAUUUCAAUUUCUUCAAACUCAACUGAAGAAGAAGAGAGGCAAUAAUAUUGUCAUACUGCUGUGUGUAAUUAAAUACUGAUAUGAAUAAUGGAAAGUUGACACUGGUCGGAACUCAAGUGUUUGGAUUCAAGUGGAUCCGGGAAGACCAUCUUUAAUGGAGCAGAGAACGAAAAUCCAAGGAUGCUUCAAUUAAAGCAUGUCUUUUCAAUUAGUAACCUCGUAGUACAUUUUUAAAAACUAAGGUUACAAAAGCAAGUUUUUGCAGUGAUGCCAUAGAAGAACCACUUUCCACUAGUGGGAAAAUUUUCCACUAUAAGCAGCCUUUGUGAAAUGGAAAGGUUACAUGGAUAUUAAAGAAUAUUCAUGGAACCAUAGAUUCCAAUAAAGUACCUUUAGUUUUAAGAGUGUACAGUAUGUACUUAACAGUUUGUAAGUUACUGUUAAAAAUUCUCCUAUGAAGAAAAUAAAUGGAAUUUUUACUCGAAUGCCAAAACCAAAUGUCACAUCAAAUCAAAUGACUUUUAUUUUCAUUUAACCACAUACACAAAUGCACUCACUCAGUCUCCUCACUGUCUCAUGCCAAUUUUGUAGGAUACUUAUAUUGUAGGAACUUGACAAAUUAAUAUAAUGUUUGUUGUCACAAGUGUGCAUUUAUUUAUAACAUUUUAUAUCUGCUGCACUAGGUUUGUGCCUAAGCAGACACCUUACCUGUGGUAAAAUUACUAUAAUGCACAGCCUUGAGCAGAUUAUUAUUUCAGUUCAGUUUAUAAGAUGUUAAUAAUCUUUGACGGGUAAUCUGUUGCCAUAAAAGACACUUAGACUUGGUGCAUUAGAAUCAAACUUCCUGUGUGAAAUCAUUCAGACCACUUGUGCUUGACUAUUGGUUUUGUGCGACAGCUCUGAUAGCAUCUGACAGCUCACUUUUACACCACUAGCUGACUGAAUGCAUGUUGGGUUUUUCAGCUAUAUGAGAAAUUUACAUGCACAUACUGUAUAGAAUGAUUCAUAAUUUGUCUGUUUGGAAACAGGUCAUAUCAUACAGUGUAAUGGUUUCUCAUCUUGUGGGUGUUGGCACAUGCAAGCCCUACAUCUUUGGCUUUAAAAUAGUAUGUACAUUUGUUCAUGUGUUGUCGAGAGCUCGAGCUGCUGUCCGCAUUUAGUCAUAUGAGUGAACCACAGAUAGCAAAGGCACAGCGCAUACGUGAGCCACCUCUUUAAAAUACCCACAGCACACAUCCGCCACCACUCACAGGAGCCUUGCAUUCAGCACAUGCGGUUCUGGUAAUGAAUUGUAGGAGGCUGUUUUUGUUGUUGAAGAUGUUUAUUUGGGUUGUAGAUGAGUACUUUCUGCUAGCACAGUAUGGCUACUUACAAGCCCUGUAGCCUAUGUAGACAUGGUCAAGUUCAAAUCGAGCAUCAGAAAGGUGACUUUGAACAUGGCAAGGUUGUAGGUGCCAGACAGUAUUUCUGAUCAACUGGUAUUUUCACUCACAACCAUCUCUAGGGUUAACAGAGGAUGGUCUGAAAAAGAGAAAAUAUCCAGUGAGUGGCAGUCCUGUGGGUAUAAAUGCCUUGUUGAUACUAGAGGUAUAGAGGGAAUGACCAAACUGGUUUGAGUUGAUAGAAAGACAACAGUAAAUCAUAUAACUACUUGUUACAACCGAUGUUUGCAGAUGAGCAUCUCUAUACUUACCAACUUCAAGCAGAUGGGCUACAGCAGCAGAAGACCACUGGGUACUAUUCUUAUCAUCUAGACACUGGAAAAUGAGGAUAUUAUCGCAUGGGCUCACCAAAAUAUACAGUAGAUGAUUGGAAAAAGGUUGCCUGGUCAAAUGAGUCUCGAUUUCUGCUGUGGCAUUCGGAUGGUAGGGUCAAAUUUUGGUGUAAACAACAUGAAAGGAUGGAUCCAUCAACGGUUCAAGCUGCUGCUGCUGUCAUGAUGUGGGGGAUGUAUUCUUGGCACACUUUUGGCCCCUUAGUACCAAUUGAGCAUUGUUUUAACAAAAACUUUAACUGCAUAGGCCCAAACUAUGUGCAAAAUUAUUAAUAUAAGCUAAUUCUAAAACUGAUCAUUUUGAUCUUCCCCUAAUAAUGUAUAGCACAAAAACAUUGUAGUGUUACAAUACAGUACUGUAUGUAAUUUCUUUGACCCUUUUUGGUAACUAAAGCAUAUAACACAUGUUAUGGCAUCUGUUUAAUUUGGCUGCUUUACCAGAUUAAUUUUGUGUUAAAUGUUUGAUUGGAAACAGUCUUUGAUAUCAACAACAAAAGAUACGGGGAACCUUUUUCUUCACUGUUAAAUUUGACAAGCCAUUUUAUUUUUGCUAUUCUAUUCUGUGCACAUACGAUUUGCAUUAGGUAUCAUUUUCCCUGCUGUUUUUCUCCUCAGAACAGACCUGUGUUCCACCACUUGAGACCUACUUUGAUAGAUUACCUCAGACAAAGUUCCCUUUUCCUGUUUCUCUUUCUCAUUUCUUUUCUACAUGAGCUCUGUCUUUUGUUACUCAAGCAGCGCGCUGACGUAUUUCCUCCUCCGUGAUGCAACUUGAACGUGCAUCUGUGCGUCUGUGCAUUGUAGAGAUAAGAGGAAGAAAAGGAGGAAGAGAGAGAGGGAAACCGCAUGUGUGCAGCACAUGAAAAAUCCAACUGAAAGAGGUUGAAAAGGAGAAAUUAAUCAGACAUUACACAACACUUCCUGAGAAUAAGGAGAGAAAGACGUUUCCCUCUGUGCAGGAAUGAAAGACCGGAAAUUCCGCGGUGAACAUAACGGACCGAUAUGUUAGCAAUCGUGUCCCUAAAUCCAAAAAACAACUUUAUUCCACUGCCGUUUAACACAUGUGGCAGAGCAAUCCAGCUCCAGGUCAUGCACCAAAACACAAGAGGACAGGUUACAUCACAGCCCUGUCCUCAUGCCUCACUGACUCAAAUUGCUGUUUGGUGAAUUUAAAGCAGCCACUUGAUCACAACUGUUGCUUCUAUUGGACUGAGGUGGGUCUUAACUAGCUUAAUUAAGGAGGUUAUGUCAAGAGCUCAGAAUGAAAGGCCUUAAGAGCGUGGCUUGUCCUCUGUCCCAUUGAAGAUAGUGGAUCUCUUCCAAAACCUAGUGAUCUGCCUAGGUAGGUAGUAUUUUAAGAAAUAAGCCCGCUCCUGACAUGAAGACUGCUCUAACAGGCAGUUCACUUUAAGGCUGGGUGGCAUGUACCAGAUGACUGUAGAAAUGUGUUGUCUGGUACAAAUUUUUGAUGCUGUUUUUAUAUAUUUUGAAAUACUGUUAUGAUAUAAAAUUAUUCAUAUGCUGAUAAAGUACGUUUUUUUGAACUGCCUACCAAAUUAAAAGACAGCGCUGCAUGAAUACUUCACAGAUGAGACAAUCCCAAAAUGCAUUGCAGCAGGUGCAGUAAAUUCAAGAUGGCAGACAAAACGACAUCAAGGCUGCGUUCUGAUUAACAGGGUUCUUGCAGUAUUCAUUGCUCCCUAAGCACAGGAUGUCUGUUGAAGUUCACUUCACUUGAAAAAAGGCGUUCAUUCAGAAAACCCAUGACAACUAAGUUGCGAAUAUUAGAGAAUUUGAGGAAAAAUUACAUAAUAUACUUCUGUAAAUAAAUGUAAUAUAAAUGACCAUAUACAGUAUUUUGAUUUCAUGUACAUGUGUAUAUAACACAUACAUGUUUAUUAAUAUACAUUGGCAUAUUUGAAAGCGAUAACUAAGUGGUACGUUUCUGUUGCAAAUAAAUGCAAUUUGGUUACA